GGAGAGGUAUCGAAGUGGUCAUAACGAGGCGGUCUUGAAAACCGUUUGGGUGUAAGCCCGCGUGGGUUCGAAUCCCACCCUCUCCGCCA
This 89-nucleotide transfer RNA is filed under the name Sedimentibacter sp. RNAcentral's name for it is "tRNA-Ser". It matches the Rfam family "tRNA". Rfam says of the family: Transfer RNA (tRNA) molecules are approximately 80 nucleotides in length. Their secondary structure includes four short double-helical elements and three loops (D, anti-codon, and T loops). Further hydrogen bonds mediate the characteristic L-shaped molecular structure. tRNAs have two regions of fundamental functional importance: the anti-codon, which is responsible for specific mRNA codon recognition, and the 3' end, to which the tRNAs corresponding amino acid is attached (by aminoacyl-tRNA synthetases). tRNAs cope with the degeneracy of the genetic code in two manners: having more than one tRNA (with a specific anti-codon) for a particular amino acid; and 'wobble' base-pairing, i.e. permitting non-standard base-pairing at the 3rd anti-codon position. RNAcentral also lists the same sequence under 3 other names. Lineage: Bacteria; Bacillati; Bacillota; Tissierellia. The record is from RNAcentral.